RNAcentral lists this long non-coding RNA (611 nucleotides) under Nicotiana benthamiana. RNAcentral describes it as "long non-coding RNA (NBEN_LNC039821)". The record is from RNAcentral. Lineage: Eukaryota; Viridiplantae; Streptophyta; Magnoliopsida; Solanales; Solanaceae.
GAGUCAACAUUGAAUCGAUAAAUCGAAUGCAUACCCUUACACUCCCAAAAUACCUCAUUAUUGUAAACCCACAAAGAAAAAAAAGAAAAAAAAAAAGGAAGGCUACUUUCUACAAGCCAAGUCUACAGGCCAGCCAAAGGAGAUGUUAGAAUAGGCGGUUAUGUAAUAGAGUUCGUAUCAAUCAAAUUGGUUGAGAAAAGUUUGAGCAAGAUAUUAACCACAGCAAGGCUUAAGGGGUGAAUUCAGGAUUUCAGUUCCAAUUUGAGGAACCAGGCGGAUUUACACCUCAUUCAUCUUCGUUAUGCAUAUGACUCUUUAAUUUUUGGGAAUCUAAUAGGGCACAACUCCUUAUCUCAGAGUUUCUAAUAUUCUUGUUUCUUUAAGCAGUGUCUGAGAUCCAUAUAAACUUUUGCAGAGAGGAUUCUUUACCCCAUGAAUGAUAUCCCCAAUCUACAGGAAGGCACUGGAAAAUUGGGUUGCAACAUUGGCUCUUUCCCAGUUAAAUAUUGUGGCAUUCCUGUGGGUGUGAAGGCAAAAGCCACAGCAAUUUGGGAUGAUAUAUUGAAAAAGUGUGAAAAAAAGUUGUCAUGUCCGAAGAGAAAGUGCUUUUU